AGCAGCCGCGGUAAUUCCAGCUCCAAUAGCGUAUAUUAAAGUUGUUGCAGUUAAAAAGCUCGUAGUUGAAUUUCGGGAUUAGUACGUCGGUCGUGCCUUCGGUACGUACUGGUGUUACUGGUUCCUACCUUCUGACGAACCAUCAUGUCAUUAAUUUGGUGUGGCGGGGAAUCAGGACUGUUACUUUGAAAAAAUUAGAGUGUUUAAAGCAGGCUCGCGCUUGAAUACAUUAGCAUGGAAUAAUGAAAUAGGACGUUGACCCUAUUUUGUUGGUUUCUAGGAUUGACGUAAUGAUUAAUAGGGAUAGUUGGGGGCAUUAGUAUUCAAUUGUCAGAGGUGAAAUUCUUGGAUUUAUUGAAGACUAACUACUGCGAAAGCAUUUGCCAAGGAUGUUUUCAUUAAUCAAGAACGAAAGUUAGGGGAUCGAAGACGAUCAGAUACCGUCGUAGUCUUAACCAUAAACUAUGCCGACUAGGGAUCGGAUGAUGUUAAUUUUUAAUGACUCAUUCGGCGCCUUACG
This 520-nucleotide ribosomal RNA is filed under the name uncultured Glomus. RNAcentral's name for it is "SSU rRNA". It matches the Rfam family "Eukaryotic small subunit ribosomal RNA", at positions 569 to 1092 of the family's 1831-position model. Lineage: Eukaryota; Fungi; Glomeromycota; Glomeromycetes; Glomerales; Glomeraceae. The record is from RNAcentral.